GGCACUGCAGGAGCUCUCCCCGUGCCCCUGCAGGUGCUGGGACACAGACCAGCUGCUGGAGGUCUGCCCCUGAUUCCUGCCCUGCUGUUGGCAAGGCAACUGCAAUGCCUUUCCACAAUCAAGGCUUGCUGAAAAAGAUUAACAUGGCCAACAGGGCAGGAUUUAGACCUGAUCCAAGUACUCUGAGGGCCCACAUCACCAGUCUUGGAUGGAAACUUCUCACAGCAGCAAACAGACUUCACAAUGUCUUUUAAAUGGAGGUUACUUUUUGAAAUGUAUCUUAAGAAAGUCAAUGGAAAAUGUCCUAAAUUAGUGGAAAUUAUUACUAAGACAAUAUUACCGUGUUUUACAAUGUAAAGGAAACACAAAUGAAAGGCACAGUUUCAGGUACAGCUUUGCAAGUAGUUCUACAAGGUCAGCAACAUUUAACCUUGAGAAAAGUCCACCAGCAUCAGUACACACUGCUGUCAGCUCUGGCUGGGAAGCUCUACAGAAAUACAGCACACCAAGUAACUGAUGUGCUGACAUCCUGAGAGGAAGGAAGAGGAGUGAGGGGAAGGAUGCCGCAGCAUACAUACACCAUACAAGAGGUUUGGCUGCAGAUGGGAAACACCUCUGUGUGACCACAUCUGCUGGUGAACACAUCCUGUGGCUUUGUGAGCACUUGGGCACCACGGUAUCACCUGGCAAUUCAGUUUUGGCGGUGAAUUAAGACAUAGCACUCAAUUUGGUGCUCACCUCACUGCACAAGGUGUUCUCCCAGCGGGGAGGAGCUGAGCAGGACUUGAUUCAACAGAAGAUCAGAGUGAGGCAAAUGGACAAUGUCUGACAAUGACAAACAACUGCAGACUUCUUUUGUACAGCAUACUCAGUCUUACAGAGCACUUUCAUACUGAAUCAGGAGUUCAUCCCACAAGGCUGUGGCAUUCUUGAUCAGCAACCUGAAAGCUGGACUUAAUGCACUGUUGAAUCACAACCUUACGUAACUUCAGUACCUGCAGUGUCUUUUCCAGGUGGGAUGUAGGGCUUUCACAGCCAGUUGCAACCAGUAAAAUAAAAAUUAAAACCACACUUCAGCAAGAACUUAAAAAAGGCACUGGCACUUCUGUGCUUCAGUAAGCCAGCCUAGAGCUAACAGCAGUACAAUAAUUUUUGAAAUCCUCCCCAGUCACCAGAAUCUCCUUAUAUUUUCAUCAGUGAAAUCCAGUUUGCACCACGUAUCCACUUCUAGACAACACAGUAACACCCAAAGCACAGUGGGCCCCUGUGACAGAUUUAGACAAUAAACCCUCCUCACUAACAUGUUAAGCAUAUUAAAAAUUUUUCAAAUGCUUCAGACCACCUAUUAAACACUUCCCCUGAAUUGUGGCUUCCACAGACAUAUUCUUUAGCACUUAUAAUAUAGAGCGUCUGACAAAAUUAAAAACAUGACUGAGAAACUAUGAAUAAUAAAUUAAAAAGCAUGAAGAGAGACCAUUUUGUUUCCCAAGCAGACAGAGAAGAAAAAAGCAAAUGAGGCUGCAGUGGAAUUUCCUCCCCCAAGGCACCAUCCCAUGACUGUCACUCCCUCCACCCUAUUCCAUCUUACUUUUGUAAUUCCAGUGGAUGCUGGUGACUUGGAUCUCCUGAGUUGGAAUGUAUUCCUCAAUAAAUUUCU
Passer domesticus (house sparrow) is the source of this 1657-nucleotide long non-coding RNA. RefSeq lists it as uncharacterized. The record is from RefSeq and is a predicted model, not a curated record. NCBI's taxonomy places the organism in Eukaryota, Metazoa, Chordata, Aves, Passeriformes, Passeridae. The transcript is spliced from 3 exons.